UGACAGGUGGUGCAUGGUUGUCGUCAGCUCGUGUCGCGAGAUGUUGGGUUAAGUCCCGCAACGAGCGCAACCCUCGACCUUAGUUGCCAGCAUUCAGUUGGGCACUCUAAGGUGACUGCCGGCUAAAAGUCGGAGGAAGGUGGGGAUGACGUCAAAUCAUCAUGCCCCUUAUGACCUGGGCUACACACGUGCUACAAUGGGCGGUACAAAGGGUCGCGAACCCGCGAGGGGGAGCCAAUCCCAAAAAGCCGCUCUCAGUUCGGAUUGCAGGCUGCAACUCGCCUGCAUGAAGCCGGAAUCGCUAGUAAUCGCGGAUCAGCAUGCCGCGGUGAAUACGUUCCCGGGCCUU
This 349-nucleotide ribosomal RNA is filed under the name uncultured Anoxybacillus sp. RNAcentral's name for it is "bacterial SSU rRNA". It matches the Rfam family "Bacterial small subunit ribosomal RNA", at positions 1032 to 1382 of the family's 1533-position model. Lineage: Bacteria; Bacillati; Bacillota; Bacilli; Caryophanales; Anoxybacillaceae. The record is from RNAcentral.